AGAGUUUGAUCCUGGCUCAGAACGAACGCUGGCGGCAGGCCUAACACAUGCAAGUCGAGCGAGAUCUUCGGGUCUAGCGGCGGACGGGUGAGUAACGCGUGGGAAUAUGCCCUUCUCUACGGAAUAGCCCUGGGAAACUGGGAGUAAUACCGUAUACGCCCUACGGGGGAAAGAUUUAUCGGAGAAGGAUUAGCCCGCGUUGGAUUAGGUAGUUGGUGGGGUAAUGGCCUACCAAGCCUACGAUCCAUAGCUGGUUUGAGAGGAUGAUCAGCCACACUGGGACUGAGACACGGCCCAGACUCCUACGGGAGGCAGCAGUGGGGAAUCUUAGACAAUGGGGGCAACCCUGAUCUAGCCAUGCCGCGUGAGUGAUGAAGGCCUUAGGGUUGUAAAGCUCUUUCAGCUGGGAAGAUAAUGACGGUACCAGCAGAAGAAGCCCCGGCUAACUCCGUGCCAGCAGCCGCGGUAAUACGGAGGGGGCUAGCGUUGUUCGGAAUUACUGGGCGUAAAGCGCACGUAGGCGGACUGAAAAGUUGGAGGUGAAAUCCCAGGGCUCAACCUUGGAACUGCCUUCAAAACUAUCAGUCUGGAGUUCGAGAGAGGUGAGUGGAAUUCCGAGUGUAGAGGUGAAAUGCGUAGAUAUGCGGAGGAACACCGAUGGCGAAGGCAAUCCCCUGGGCCUGUACUGACGCUCAUGCACGAAAGCGUGGG
This 711-nucleotide ribosomal RNA is filed under the name uncultured bacterium. RNAcentral describes it as "bacterial SSU rRNA". It matches the Rfam family "Bacterial small subunit ribosomal RNA", at positions 8 to 765 of the family's 1533-position model. The record is from RNAcentral.